GACUCUCGGCAACGGAUAUCUCAGCUCUCGCAUCGAUGAAGAAUGUAGCAAAAUGCGAUACUUGGUGUGAAUCGAAACAAGAGACGUUUCGAUCGAGAUUUGAAGGAGAACACAAAGCUGGAGGAAAGGGCGAGUAGGAGAAAGCAAAGGAGUUUAGACGAGUCUUA
RNAcentral lists this ribosomal RNA (167 nucleotides) under Brassica napus (rape). RNAcentral's name for it is "5.8S ribosomal RNA". It matches the Rfam family "5.8S ribosomal RNA". From Rfam's summary of the family: 5.8S ribosomal RNA (5.8S rRNA) is a component of the large subunit of the eukaryotic ribosome. It is transcribed by RNA polymerase I as part of the 45S precursor that also contains 18S and 28S rRNA. RNAcentral also lists the same sequence under 1 other name. Lineage: Eukaryota; Viridiplantae; Streptophyta; Magnoliopsida; Brassicales; Brassicaceae. The record is from Rfam by way of RNAcentral.